RNA transcript from Arachis stenosperma, 1683 nucleotides. It is a transcript of the gene named pentatricopeptide repeat-containing protein At1g62910-like, with no coding region annotated. The transcript has 3 exons. NCBI's taxonomy places the organism in Eukaryota, Viridiplantae, Streptophyta, Magnoliopsida, Fabales, Fabaceae. The record is from RefSeq and is a predicted model, not a curated record.
CAGGAUCGAGGAACGAAGAGUGGGUGUGCACUGUAAAGACCAUAUGGGAAAGUGAGAGUGAGAACACGUACAAUAGAAAUGAGGAACGAAGAAACGGGGUGGAUGUUGCAGUGUAAUUCUCAUUCACAAUAAUCAUUUCUCUGUCUCAUGCCUUCUUCAAUUUCUCUAAUUCUCACUGCAUUAAUUCUUAAUUCUGUGUUUGUGAAUUCAUCUCUUGAUUGCAAGAAUGUUGUCAUUGUUCUCAUUCUCACGAAUCAUGUUAAGGUACUCUCCUUGUUCUGUUCCCCACUCCGCUUUCCGUCUUUGCUUCCCUUCAACUUCAUUCCUACACUCUCAGUCCCAAUCACGUGAUAAAUAUGUUGAUAUCUUCACUCGCUUGCUCUCUAUGCGUCCUCCUCCAUCCAUCAACUCCUUUAACAUGAUUUUGGGGGUUCUUGCCAAGAGGAACGAUUUUCCCACCGCCCUACCCCAUGUUCAGCUGUUGGAAGCCCGGGGAUUUCAGUUUAAUGAAGUCACUUAUGUGACCUUGAUUCAGGGACUCUGUAAGACCAGACACAUAUCAGCUGCUGUUCAAGUGUUGAGAAAGAUCCCAAUGCAUGGGAUUGUUCCUAAUGUCGUCAUGUACAGCGCAAUUAUUGAUAGCCUCUGCAAGGAAGGACUUGUGAAUCUUGCUUUUCGUUUCUUCUCUGAAAUGCUUGCUAAGGGAAUCUCUCCUGAUGUUCAAAGUUACAAUAUCAUGAUUAAUGGCUUCUGCAAAAGUAAAAUGCUCGAUAAAGCCUUGAUUCUCUUUGAAGAAAUGCUUCGUAAGGACUUGGUUCCAAACACGGUAACUUACACCGCUCUUAUUGAUAGCUUGUGCAAAUCAAAGAGAAUCUCUUGUGCUUUGGAGCUUUUCGACAAGAUGCAUGAUAGAGGUCAACCUGCUAACGUAGUCACUUACAAUUCCUUGUUGAAUGGGAUGUUCAAAAACAAACAACUUGAAAAGGCACUUAUGUUAUUCAAUCAAAUGAAAAAGAGUGGCAUUGAUCCAAAUAUAAACACAUACAGAGUACUUAUUGAUGGCCUAUACAAUGCAAAAGAGAUUUUUCAAGAUUUUUGCGUUAUAGGCUGUCCUCCAAAUGUGAGGGCCUACAAUAUUAAGAUCGAUGGGCUCUGCAAAAAGGGCUUAUUUGAAGAAGCAUUGACCCAGCUGUCGGAAAUGGAACACAAUGGUUGCUUACCAAAUGCUGUGACUUUUGUAACUGUUAUUCAUGCUUUGUUUGAAAGAGAUGAGAAUGACAUGGCGGAGAAACUUCUUCGGGAAAUGAUUGCUAGAGGCUUAUUGAAUUUAUAAAAGAAGAGCGGAUACCUUAAUCCCCGUCUCCCUUCCCCAUUUAUUCAGGGAGCAGGUGGCAGAUUCCCGUUAGUCCUCUGUUGCAGAUAACCCCGGCAAGUAUCUACAGGUACAGCAGCCUAUUUAACAAUGGCAUCUAGAAAUAGAAGAUUGACAAGUGGUUCCUAUGGCAGCGGCAGUUCUAAUGUCAUGGGGGAAUGUUUUUGCGAUUGUGAAUGAACCUGAUGUAAAACUAGAGAAUGAAAUACUAUUAGCCUAUUACUGAAAUGGUUAGAUUGUUUUCUUAUUUUUAGUUUUGUAGUUUGUAUGUUUCUCAUCAUAGUCUUGUUUUUUAAACUCUAAUAAUUGCU